RNAcentral lists this long non-coding RNA (24801 nucleotides) under Capsicum annuum. RNAcentral's name for it is "long non-coding RNA (CANN_LNC014441)". The record is from RNAcentral. Lineage: Eukaryota; Viridiplantae; Streptophyta; Magnoliopsida; Solanales; Solanaceae.
CAACAACAACAACAACAACAAACCCAGUGUAUUCCCACUUUGUGGGGUCUGGGGGGGGUAAGAUGUACGCAGUCCAUACCUCUACCUCUGAUGAAGUAGAAAGGCUGUUUCCGAAAGACCCCCGGCUCAAGUUACGAGAUAUCAAACAAACACAUAGUACAGCACAGAAGCAGAUGACAUAACAUAGAUACGGCAGCCAUAAGGAAUAUAAAACAGAGUAAAGCAGGAAUACAGGAAUAUAAAGCAGAGGAAAGCACACAGAUUCGUAACAAACAUAGAACACGGAACACGGAACAGAACAUUGAAUACGGAAUCAUACCAGGAAUACACCCCCACCAAUUACCUCCCUACAUUAGCGACCCGAACAGGCCCUAAUCCUCUGCCGUAAUUCGCGUCUUCCAGACCUUCCUAUCUAGGGUCAUGUCCUCGGUAAGCUGUAACUGUUCCAUGUCCCGCCUAAUCACCUCACCCCAGUACUUCUUCGGUCUACCCCUACCCCGUCUAAAACCAUCCAACGCUAGCCUCUCACACCUACGGACCGGGGCAUCCAUGCCCCUCCUCUUCACGUGUCCGAACCAUCUCAAUCGUGCUUCCCGCAUCUUACACUCCACUGAAGUCACCCCAACCUUCUCCCGGAUAGUCUCAUUCCGAGCUCUAUCCCUUCGGGUCAGUCCACACAUCCAGCGCAACAUCCGCAUUUCUGCCACCUUCAUUCUUUGGGUGAAAAUAUAAUCGAUAAGUGUUGGUCCAAUUUUCCAACAAUGUAGAUGAAGUUCCACUCCUUGGUUCCCACCAUAUAAAUUGUUGCACCUUCUCCUAUUUUGCGAUAUAACUUCCCACACUUGAGAACUACCUGUCCAUUGCAUCAAAGCUAGAAUUUUUUUUAUAGUAAUUAUUCCAUAAGAAAUUAGUACGUAAAUUAUUAUGUCCUAAAUCUCCACCACAACUUAGCAUGCAUAGGUUAAGGCAAAUCUUCUAAACUCUGAUCCACCUUCUUCUUUGUGUAAACAGACCUUGUCCCAAGCUAACCUGUGUUUGUGUUUACUUAUUUAUUUUUAUGUUAAAAGAAUUUAGCAAAAAAUAUUUGUAAGUAUUUUACCACACUUUUAGGAGUAUUGAUAUGAUGCAUUGGGGAUGCUUUGUAGAACACUUUUCAGCAACACUUUCUUUCCUCUAAUGGAUAAGACCUAUCCUCCCAGGUCUAUAAUUUAUUCCUAACUUUAUCUAUCAAAUUUGCAAAGUGUUUUUUCUGCUUCUUUAAAUAAGAAAUAGGAAAACCAAGGUAGUUUAGAGGCAAUGAACCUUUAGUUAUUCCUGUGAGUUGUUCCACCUAUUUUAUCACAUUCCUAGAUGCAAUUUGGUGCAUAUAAAAAAGCUUUUGCCUAUGUUUACCUUCUGCCAGAUUCAUUCUCAUAUUCCAGUAAAAGCAUCAUAAUUUUUCAAUUGAAUAGUUAUUUGGGAUCCACUUAGGCUUACCAUAUCCUACAAAUAACUCAUCCUUAAAUAGAUGAUUAAGAGCCCUUGUCAUCACCUUACCAAAUAUUUUAAAAGAACAGGUGGCAUAGAGUCUCCUUAUUUCACUUCCUUAGUAGAAUAGAAUAAACUUAAUAUUUUCUAUUUAAUAACAUUGAGUAAUAAUUAUUAGAUAUCAGUCUCCAAACUAUAUCCACUACUCUAUUAGAGAAUCCCAUUUUUAUGAGAACUUUUAUAAAAAAAUAUCAAGAGACCUAUCAUAAGCUUUGGUCAUGUCAAGUUUAAGAACCACAUUAGAAGGCUCACCUCUUUUUUCUAUAUCAGUAACCUGCUCUUAUGUUAACAACUCAUUUUCAACAAUAAUUCUCUUUUUCACAAAACUUGACUGAUGAGGAGAGAUUAGUCUAGGCAAAAUAUUAUCCAAUCUAUAUUGAAUAAUUCUUGACAUUAUCUUGCAUAAAAUUACUCAAACUAAUUAGUCUCAAGUUUAAAAAGGAUUGCACAAUAUCCUUUUUAGGGAUGAGAUCCAGGUUAGUAGGAGUAAUAGAUUUUGUAAGGGUAUUACCUGAAAAAAAGUCUAGCACCAAUCUGAUAAGUCCAACUUAACAAUGUCCUAACAAGAUUGGUAAAACCUCUAGAAAUCAUAUCAAGAGAAUAAAUAUUGUCCCCAUUCAAAGUAAAGACAACCUUUUAAAUCUUUUUCAAUUCAGGAAGGCCUUUAAACAUCAUUACAUUCAUUAGUAACCAUCUAACGAAUAAGAUCUAGAAGAGAGAAGUCACAUACAUCCCUCUUUUGAGAGAACUGCUUCUGAUAAAAAUUAAUAGCCUCAUUGGAAAUUUUAUCCUCUUCUUCUAACCAACAACCCUAAUCAUCAAGAAUUCUAGCUACCUAAAGUCUAUUUGUCCUUCCAUUCAUAAUAGUAUCAAAGAAUCUUGUAUUUAUGUCACUACUUUUAAACCAAUCAUACCCUAUCUUUUGUUGCCAAAAUCUCCCCUCUAAGUAAAGAUAUCUGAGGUAUUCUGCCUUAGCCCUUUCCAUUACAACCCUAUUUUCCUGAGAUGGAUGAUCUUGAAUAUUUUUACUUUAGUCUUGGCUAACUUUUCUCUAAUACACAGUUGCUAAAAAAAUAUCCCCAUAUACUUGCCUUCUCCACAAAGUGAGUGCCUUCUUGACACACUUACACUUUCUUUUGAAAUCCAAAAUAGGAUUUUCAGUAAUAUUAGAAUUCUAAUUCCUUCUUACCACAUCCAUCAAGUCUGUAUGUUAAGUCUAAAAUUAUAGAAAUUUAAAGUAUCUUUGAAUCUACUUGUUCUGUUCUCAUAGUUUAAUGAUAAAGAAGUAUGAUCUGACCCAUCUCUAGAUAAAUGUUCAACCUUUACAUGGAUGAACAACCCUAAAAACUAGAAUUGGUUAAAAAUCUAACAAGCCUUUAGAAUAUGCAAUUAUCUUAUGCUCUACCAUUCCACCAUGUAAAGGGGCUACACUUGUAUUGUACUUGUGUCAAAUCACAAUAUCUAACACAAUUUUUAAAAUCUUCUACAUCUUUAUAUACCACUGGAAACCCCCAUUCUUUUCAACACUAUUUAAAAUAAUAUUGAAAUCAUCCCCUAUAAUCCAAGGGGUGUUGAGAUUGUUGGCUAUAAAGUAAAUACUCUCUCACAAUCCCAAUCUCUAACUUUUAUCAUAUUUAACAUAAAUAACUAUCUUCAUGAAUGAGCUACCACUGUCUUGAUCACUUAACAACAUGGAAAGUUAUUGUUUAGUAUCACUAACAACUGUAUCAUUAAAACCAUGGUUAACAAAGAACUUAAUUUUACCAUUACAGUUGUGAAAAAUUUAAGGCAUUUGUAUUUUGUUCUUAUAUCUGUUGAUAGUUCAGAUGUGUUGAAAAGGACCUAGUAAACCCUAUUAAAGAAAAUUUAUGAAACUUAUUUAACAUCUAGAUUCUCAGAAAAUCCCUUUGUGACUUUAAAUAUAUAAUAUUCCAUACAAUGACCUUUAUUAUAUUUUUGCAUUUUGAUCCACUCCAAUUUUCUUUUAUUAGGUUUCAGCUAGCAGUAAAGCCUCCUAGUACCCUAUUUAUUUCCUUUUUUUUUUUUACUAAUUUGACUUACUUGGUUGCUCUUAGUGAUAAAUCAAUAUUCCUACUUAUCUCUUCUUAAAGAUGAAUAAAUUUUUCCUUACCACCUUUUAUUUUUGCAUAAACUUCUACCAUCUUAAGAUUAUGAGAUAGAAUAUAAUGCAACACAUCAUCCGGACACUCAACUAUACCACUCCAGAUUGGAGUUACAUCAAUAUCUUAUGAGGAAUCUACAAUAGCCAGUUUACUAUUCCUUGUAGUUGAUAAACUCUUUUUAUUACUGGUAACUGUUGCUGCUUGUUGCUUAUUCUGAUUAUCAAUUUCUUUGAUCUCUUUUAGUUCUACUUGUUCAUCACUACCAUUACCUUGAGAAGUAUCUUCUAGAGUAAUCAAUUUAUGAUCACUCUUAUCCACCUCUAUUGCUAGUUUAAUAUUUGUGACAAUGUUCUUGUCAGAUCUUACUACUUUGUGCAUACCAGGACUAGCUUUUAUAUCUUCUUCACCACCUUAAUAAUUAUCUACUUUGUUGUACAAGGUAUCAUCUCCCUUUUAUGCUACUGGUACUUAUUUAUUCUUUCUACUACUGCUCAUAUUUGUAUCCAUUUCCUUCAUUGCUACAGGGUUCCCAUUAUUCUCUAUAAAUAGAGAUAAAUCAAAUUCUUUUCUAUAAGAAAGAUGUACAGAUUAAGUCCUUUGUAGACUCUUUUUUGUCCCCUUCCCCAUUUAUUUCAUUAUCUUGAUCCUUAUUUUGUGAUGUAAUAAUAGGCUUUUUAGCUCUAGUUUGAUCCUCUCCUUUUUUUGUCAAGCCUGUAAGGUAUUUGUGUUGCAAAUCUCUUUAUUUAGUGUUAUAGUUAUCUCACUAAGAUACCCCUCAUUAAUAAAUCUUCUCACAUUGGGAUCCACUAUCAAUUAGGACCAUAUAUUUUUUGAACUUGACCUUGGCAGGGCUAGCUUCAACCUCUACAUAUUAAGAGUCAUUCUUCUUCUUUACUUUCUCUUGAUGUGCUUAUUUUAGUCCAGGGUGAGAUACCUUACAAUCAUGACAAUUAUGUCCUUGGAUCAUAUACUUCUUGUAAUAUUUAAGUAAAGUCAUAUGUUACAAUAGAUGAUUUAUCUAUUUGAUGAAAUCCUAAUAGUUAUUCUAACAAAUGACAGUCCAUGACUUUUUACUUCUUCUAAUAGAUGGGUAAUCUAUUGCAAUAGAUGACCCAUAUGUUAGAAGAAAUCUAAAUAAUAUUGAUAGUUUGAUUUCUUCCAAUAGAUCACUUAUCUGUUACAACAUAUGUUUGAUUUAUCGAAAAAAAUAAAAGCAAUUUAAAUCAUAUUUGAUCUUCAUCAAUUCAAUUUGAGAUUCCUUUGUAUUAGAAUUGACAAUUUCCAUCUUAACACAUUUAGGAAGAUCUGUAAGAAAAUCCACCUGGACCUUAACCCUAGUACAACUAGGUCUUGCUUUGUUAAUCGUAGCCAAAUCCAAGUGAAUUAGCUUACCUAUAGUCGAUGCCAAUGAAAAUAAGGACUCUUUCAUGAAGAAAGUGGACUUAAGAUCAGGAAAAGAGAUCCAUGCCAUGGAUUGGGUUGUUUUCUCCUUCGUAUUGAUAUUAUCAUCAUAUAUUAGGGGCCAUAUAUGAUAGGAGUAACCAUCCUUAUCAGUAAUGUAGUACACAAGUUUUGCAUCACAUUCACAAAAUCUUCAAUAAGUCAAAUCUCACGAGAAUAUACAAUUCCUCUAAAAACCAAUCUUACAAUCUCCAUGUACAUUAAGUUAUUCAGGAAUUUGUAUGUAAAGGUCAUCCAAGUUCAGCCAACCAUACGAAAAUUUCCCAAUGACUACCCCCAGUCCACAUAACUCGAGGAUGCCAUUAAUGUAAUUAAUCUAUUUUAUCAGAAUGGGUUGGAUAAAAGGUUUAUUAUGAACUUUAGAAUUAUUAAUGGUCGAGGGCUUUAAUAGAUAGACAUAUUGCUCCUACCUUGUUGUAGGAUCACUAAUCAAUGAUGAAUUGAUAGGAAAACUUAUAGGUGCAAUAAAGGUAUUUUGAGAUAAGGGAGGGAAAUUUUCAUAUGAUUUGGUUAGAGUAGACUGUCCAGUGGCCUGAUUGGCCAUUUUUGGUGAUAUUAAGGUUCAGAUGCUGAUGACAACUAGGUUAAUAUCCUCCAUACAAUACCCUCUCUAUUUAGACAAUAAUGUUAAUUUUUUUGUUAAAUAAAAUCUGUAUUCAAUAAACUUCAACAAUAUGUUUAAACUAAAGUAUGAACAACCAAAUGAAGUUCCAACUAUAUUGUAAGGGAUUGAAUUUGUGAAUUAUUCAUUUAUAUGUGAGUUAACAAUUUUACCCCUCUCUGUGGUUGCUAUGUGAUGUUUCUAGGGCGUGGGGAUGAUUUACAUGGUUUCUAAUGCUUUGCAGUGUGUUUUGUGCAAGUUUGUGGUUUUUGGAUGUUUAAAAGGCUUUAUAGUUUACUUUAGCUAACAUUUAUUAUUUUGUAAGACAAAUGACAAAACAGACUACAUCAACAGAUCUGGAACAUUGAUUUUAUGUUGGUAGCUAGGCUGGUCUGAUUUUAUGGCUUUCAUAUCUCAUUUUGACCCUUGGUUUGAGAAAUUAUAAAAUUGGGUCUCGAGGGUCAAUUCUGUGAAAAUAACCUUUUUUAUAAAAUCUAUUGUCGCCAUUGAGUUUGGAGUGUCAAAUUUGAUAGGGCAGCAUAGUUUGUUUUCCUUCUUAGGAUUCUAAAUGAAUCUAAGGGAUCGAUGGAUACUUGGAAUUUUCGAAGUCUUUAUCUAGUGCAGUAUUAGCUGAUGUAAUCACUUAAGCGAUCCUAUAGUUGCUUAAGCAACCAAGAGGCUGCUUAAGCAAAGGCCAACUGUUAUGGACUAGUCGCUUAAGCUAUCACAGUUGGGCAUCUAUAUAAAAAGCAAUUUUCUUGAUUUUCUACCAUUUUUUGGACUUGGAGCUUCGGUUUUUAAAGUUUUUGGGCGAUUUAUUCCACUUUCAAGCAUGGGUAAGCUCCAAAUCCCUAUUUCAAUUAUUUUACUUUAAUUUUUGUUAUCUAAAUCUCAUUAAAAUAUAAAUGGUUUUCUUAAAGUUUAAAAAUCAUUUUAAACCUAUUUUCACUUUGUGUUUCUUCUAUGGCAUCCUUGAAUCAUAGUUAAUAUAUUAUUAGUGAAAAUUUUGGUUUUACUCUUCCUUUUUGAGACCCCAUUUUAGGGGUCUAUUGUGACCCCGACUAAAAAAUAUGCAAUAUAGGUGUCAUUGGCUUCUUUUUAAUGCAUUGAUUCUAUAUUUUUAUGGUUUAGUUGGUUUUGAGGCUUUUUAGGAAGGGAAGGUUCCAUUUUGAGGGUUGUUUGGAUUGAGUUUUCUAUGUUUGAGGUAGGUUCUGGCUUAGCUUUCUUCAAAGUGGGCUAGGUAGUUAAUAUUAAUAUAAAGCAUGCUAUGGGUAUGGGUAUUAAUCAUAAAAAUGGUGUUAUUACUGUUAUGUACUCGUGUGGGGCCCUAUGUGUUGUAUUAGUGUUUUGAGAUAUUAUUUUCUCUCUAUGACCCAUGUAGGGGCCUUAUAUGAUGUUGUUACUUGUAUAUAUAUAUAUAUAUAUAUAUAUAUAUAUAUAUAUUUGGUUGUAUUCUUUCUGUUGGUGUCACUAAUCCAAAAUCAAGGGUCAUGAUGGAACUUGUCAUGACAAGAAUUUACAAGUAAACCUAUUAGCCAAAUAGAUAUGAAAUGAGAAAUCACUACCAAAACUCAAGGCAAGGCUUCUCGAGCGAAGCCAAACCAUACAAAUAUGAUAAUAGCGGAUAUACAAAAUCAAAGAUACUAAACAAUAUCCCAAAACCUUGUAUCACAUUGUAAGAACUGGUAAAUGCAUCUCGAAUGUCAAAGAUUUAAUAAUAUAUCAGAAGAAUUAUAAUAUAUCUCUUAAUACAAACAAGACAUGAAAAAGAUAAAUAAAGUUAGAAGAUCAACUUCGAAAGCAUAGAUCAUCCGCUACCUGAAUAUACUCCAGAUACUGCCUGAAUCAGCUAUUGUGUGGUGCACUCAUACCUGGAUCUGUACUAAAAGGGAAUUGUAGGAGUGAGUACAGGUCCAGUUGUACUUAGUAGGUAUCAUUGGCGGACUGAGCAAUGUAGAAAAUAAAGCAUAUAAAACACACAUAAUGGAAACGUCACCUGUAAUCAAAAGAUGUCCCAAAUAUUAGACCACACAACCUCUAAUAACAAUUAUACAAUAUGCACGUAUACCAUACAUAAAUACAAAAAAUAAACACAAAUAUACAUGUAUAAUAAUUUCAAGUAUAAGAAAGGAGUACAAAUAGAACAAUAAUACAACAAAUAAUGAGCACAAUAUGUGUGAAAUGCAAUAAAGAUAAUGAUGAUGAUAAUGAUGAAGUGAUGAUGAUGUGUGCUCGAGGUUGACACAUAACCUCUAUAUACACAUAUCAAAUUGUGCUUCUAGGUCGGACCCAUGGUAGGUUCACAACCCAUAUACAAUCCAAUAUUCAAUACCAAUAUCCAUAAUUCCUCUUCGAUACAUACAUCGAUAGAAAGGUUUUAAAGAUGUCAUAUUUUUAUCAGAAAAAGCCAGUGUUUCAAGUAUUUCCCCGGUGUUACUAAUGUUUCAUGAAUGUAUAUGAUAUGAGGAUGUAAUGCUCAUAACUAACCAUAAUGAGAGUUUCAAAGUCCAACCAAUAUACCAACCAUGUAAGCCACAAUCCACUCAAUAUGCCAACCAUCCAUUAAUCUAAUAUAAUCCAUAUGCCAAUAGAGUAAAAUACAUAAAAAUAUGCCAAUGAUACCACAUAAAUUAAAUUUAGGCCAUUUUCACAAGAAAAGAUACAAUCAACUAUACAUACUUGAGGCCAACAACAAUAUCACAAAAAUCUAUUGAAUAGCAACAACGUAGGCCUCCAUACAGGCACAAUACAUUAGUAUAACCAUUUCAUGAUUGGUUCCAACACCCAUAACAUGAUUUUUUACUAAGAUUAACUACCCAAUCAAGUCGGAAGAAAGUUAAGCCAUGACUAACCUUAAAUGCCAAAAUUGGCACAAAAAAGCCUUCCACAUCGAGCUUUUGCCUUAUGAACGGACCGAAAAUCAAGCAAAAUACACAAAUAUAGAACAUACGCGUUAAAAUAAAGGCAACAAUAACCAUAUUGCCCAUUUCUAAGUCAGGUUCAAGACAGACCCUCAAAAUGAGUUUUCAAAAAUGAAGGGUAGAAUUGAAAUUUUGUCCACAAAUAUGUUUUCCAUGAUUAAAGGAACUCAUAGAAGAAAACCCAAGUAAAAUGGGUUUACAUUGGGGUUCAUAUCAAGAAAGCACUAAUUUAGGCUCUCUGGGAUAGAAUCCCCAAAUAACACUUUCAAAUUCAAGCAUUAACAAGGUGUAAAUAAUAAUAAUUGAAGAAAUAUAAUUGAAAUAGGGAUUAAGAGCUUAACCAAGCUUAAAAAUGGAAGAAAUAGCCCAAAACCUUGAAACCCCAAGCUCCAAGUCUAAAAAAUUAUGGAAGAAUAGAGAAAAUGAUUAUAUAUAUGGUACCAGAUGUCACUAAAGUAGUCAAAAUACCCCUUUAGCGGUCACCGUUAAAGUGGUCAAGUACCGCUUUAGUGGUAUCUACAAUACACACCGGUCCUCCAAAGCGAACAAGGGCUACUUUAGCACCUACCGCUAAAGCGUAAAGGAGAUCACUAAAGCAUCUUUGCCCAGUUAGGGUCAGUGCUAAAGUAUCCAGGUAGAGAUUUAUCGCCUACUACUAAAAUGUCCAAAAUAGCGUAUUAGCAGCUACAACAGCGGAGUGGUGCACCAACUAUGGAGACUUGGAAAAUUCAAAGUCUCCAGGGCCCCUCAGGAUUCAUCCAAGAUCAUGAGAAUGCAAAUGAAGUAUGCUACCCUAUCAAAUUCAAUGAUCUAGACUCAAUAGAUAUAUCAUAGUUUUGAAAGAUGUUUUCACAAAAUUGAUCAAUGAAACCCAAUUUCACAACAUUUUGAAUUGGGGGUCAAAAUGAGAUAUAAAAUCCAUAAAAUCACACCAACCAUAUUACCAACCUAAAAUAAAUAUUCCAAAUCUGUAGGUGCAUUCAGUUUUGCCAUUCAACGCAAGGAUCAAUAAAUAUUGAUUGAAGUCAACUAAAAGCCUUUAUAAUAAUCAAAAACUGUAAUCUCACACAAAUCAUACUAAAAUGCAUUAGAAAUUGUGCCAAUCAUCCCCACAUGCUAGAAAUACCAUAAUAUAACCACGUGGAAGGGUAAAAUGGUUAAAUUACUCAAAAAUGAAUAAUUCACAUAAAUCAUCAAAAAAUUUCAUCUUUACAUCAUCCAUCACUAAGAAUCUAGUUUGUCCUCAAACUAAAGGCAACAUAAAUACCCGAAUUAGCAAAAAUCUAGGAUAACUAUCACACAUAUCAUACUCAACCUCCAAAAUAGUGUAAUGACCCUCUAGGUCAUUUUUUAUAUUUCUACUAAUUUUUACUAUUCGAGAUUUUUCAUAGCUACCACAAGCCAUUUAUAACUUAAUGGGACUGACAGUUCGGUUACUGGGCAGUUAGUUUGGUCUUUAUAUCCAGUUCUCUAUUUAGAAAUCUUCGUUGGAUCUAAAUGGGCACCGAACAAAAAAUUUAGUAAAACAACUCGGAUACAAAUUCUAAUUGUUCCAAUAGCUCUGAAAUAUCAAUUUAAGGCUAGGUAGACCUUUGGUUUAGGUCCCGAUGCACCCAAGCUCAUUUGACCUAUUGGUUGAAAAGUUGAAAAUUAGAAAUUUGGGUAUGGGACCCAUCUUUGGCUGAAACAACCUCGGAUGGAAUAUUAAACUUUGCCAUUACAUAUAGAACAUGAAAUUUAUUAUGGUUAUAAAGCUCAUUUGCAUAUAUCAAAUUCAUAAUAAGUCCCGAGGCCUUAGUGAAAACUUAGAAAUUCCAAGUUUCAGCUUUCAGCUGAGGUUUGGUGCUAUAGCAAUCGUACCCCCUAGGCUUAUGAUCAUGCCUCAGUGUGCAGAGAGGGGUAUUACAAUUUUACAAGGGUGUUUUAUGAUUAAAACAUCUAGUUCUGACACUAUAGUGUGAUUGUGGUUUGCAUAUUGUUAUUACAAUAUUUGAUUACCUAGUAUGGGUAUAAAAAGGCCCUUUAUGCUAUGUUUUGGUCUUUUCUCAACCACUCUCAUGAAAGAAAAAAUCCUAAAGUGUAUGGAAACUCAAAUUUAAGACUUGUGGAUGACUUGGGAGCUUGAUUAACAUUUAUUAUCAUGAAUAACUUUAGAUUUAAGGUAAGAUAUCAUCCCUUUCUUGAUGAAUUUCUUAGUUUAUGACCCAAAACCCCAAAUAGCUUGAGAAAUUGAUUUUAGCAUAAAAUUAGCUUGAUUUUCACCCAUUCUUAAGAGUUAUAAUUCCUUUAUCAUGUAUGAACAUCUGGUUGACCUCAAAAAUAUGAUUUUCAUAAGUGGGACCUACUUAAGAUUUUGGGUGUCAUUUUUGAACCUGAAGCACAAUGGUGCAAUAUGAGCAUUGUUGUUCUUGUAUUAAUGAGUAGAUUAAAAUAUUGAUAGUGUUUGGUAUUUUGGGAUUGUGAAGUGAAGAUAGACAUUUGGUGAAUAAUGUAAGGAUUUUUGAUUUGGCCUUGAGGUAUAUUUCUGUCUAUUCUUCUUCGUAAGAUGAUGCGUGUUAUAUAUUAAGUAUGAAUAUGAAUGUUAAGUUUUAUUAUGGGUACAAUGAGUUGGUUUUGAAUAUUGAUAUUUGGGGAUUAGAUAAGAGUUUGACCUGUAAGUUGAAUGUUUUAUCUUUGUUUGAAUCCCAUUGUCUCCUUCCUAAAUUGAACUAAUUCACAGAAUGAAUAUGAUAUAAUAGUAGGUUUGGGAUGUGGUUUUAUCAUUAGAAGCAUGGUUAAUAUCUUUAACCUUAUUUAUGCUAUUGUGGUGAUCUUGAAACCUUAAUUUAGGUAGAGUUGAUUUAAAUGGCCAUAUUUCUAGGUAAAAUUCCUAUCUUAGGAUUGGUUAUGAUUUACUUGACAUCUAGAAGUUAAACUAGAUACCUUAGCCUAGAUUGGGGUAUAAAUUGCCUAAAUAUGGAAAUUAAGGAUUACACAUGGGUUCUUUCAGCCUACCUUAAUUUAAGACUUUUGUUAGCCCUUGUGGGCGAAGUUGCGAAUUUUAGGCUUGGUUUAGACUAUUGGACCUUUAGUAUAAUGUUUCUUUGUGACUUUAUAAACGGUGAUGAUUUUUCUCAUAUUAUGAUAUAUGGCCUAUAGACGUAAUAUUCAUAUCGAUAUGUUAUGCCUUAUAAAUACGCUAUGGCUUAUUUAAAAUGAGAUGAUUUAUAAAAAUGACUAUAGAUAUGGGUUCUAGAUAUAUAUGUGGGCCAAAGGCCAUUAUUAUGAUGUUAUAAUUGUUCCAAACACAUUAUUUUUCCCAAGGCCUUGUUGUAAUAUGAGUUGACCAUUCGGGAAGUAUUUAUCCUUGUAAAGGAUAUAAUUAUGGUUUAUUAAUAUAUUAAUAAUUAUGGUUCCAUUGUUAAAAUACCGGUGAUGGCAUGCAUAGAUUUGGUACAUUCAUGAUUGCCACAUCAAUGAUUGAUAUGAUUAUAAUUAUAUUAUGAUCUUAUUAUUAUUGUAACUAAAUGAAGGUUAAAACUCACUUUCUACCUUAAAAUAGAUUUUUUCAUAAUAAUAAUUGCCUAUAUUAAUGAAUAACUUAUAUGUAAAAGAGAUUAAUAAUGGUAUUUUAAAAUAAGUGAUCGAGACAAAUCCCAUUCUAUGAUUUAAUAUUAUUAAUUACUCCUGUCAUGAGAAAUUCUAACCCAUUCUACAUUUUUAUAAUAAUUUAAUUACAAAUUUCACUCCAGACAACAGACUUAUAAAUUUACAUUCUUUUAGCCACGACUUAAGUCUAUGCACCUAUUAUAUCCAGAUGCAUAUCUCUCCAAAAUAGGAUGAAGAAAGAUGCUGGAUUGAUGAUAUAACUUUUAGGUAUAAUCAAUGUCAGACUUUAAUAUUAAUGUUAUAUAUAUGUGUAUUAAAUAUAUUUAUGAUGAUUGACAAUACUGAGGGUAUUGAUGAUAUUUAUAUUCGGUUCAAUAUCAAGUCUUGAUGAUAUUUAUGAGCGGUUUAAUUUUGAGUCUUGAUUAUCACCAAUUGGAUUUCGAGUCUUGAUUAUGAUGAUGAUGGUUGUGAUAAGGAUGGUUAUGAUAAUAAGAUUGUGUUAUUAAUUAUAUGUACAUUGCAUUCAUCCUUGUAUGUAAAUUAGCUAUCACCAGUAUGUGCCUAUAUCUAUUAGUGCAUAUAGAGGGGUGGCUGUAUUGAUAUGGAUGAUGACUAUGCCUUGUGGUGUAAUGUAUGUUGAUUGAACCUUCUGAGCCUAGGGUGGUGGGGGUAUGUGAUAGGCUCAGUUAUAUAUUUAGUUGUCUAAACUAGUUGGUUACUCGCACUGUUAUUGAUAUUUUUAUAUUCAUUAUUAUGUUUUUGGUUAUGGCUAGUUUGUGAUAGACCUGUUAUUGAUUCGGUAUCGAGAUUUGAGGUAUAAUUCUAGAUCUUCUAUCUUUAGGUUUCAUUGUUAUGCCUGAUAAAUUCAUGAUUAGGCUUAUGGGUUAGAAAACCUGAGUAUUCUAGCACUACCUUCUACUAUGGUUAUGAGGUCUUAAAUAGCUAGUCUGAUGAUGUAGGUUGUACUAUGAGUAGAUCUUGGUUAUAUACUUGUAUAUAUAUAUUUAACUAUAUGUAGCUAUGGUAUUACCAUAUAUCUCUUAUUUUCUUUAUUUACUUGGAUUAUAUACUUAUUCCUUGUCCUCGUAUACUUAUAUGUAUCUUCUUUCUACUCUUACUUGCAUAUUGGCCAGUGAUAUACAAUAUAGUUAUGAGACUCUUAAGCAUUCUUGGAAUAAGAUAUUGCAUUCUUUCUACUCCCUUACCCUUGAUAUAUUAGUCUCUUAGACAAGAAUAGGAUAGUGUAUCCCUAUUAUCUCAGUGGCUAUCUUAUAUGGUUGCUAGACAUUUAGGUGUAGUUUUCUAUUCUUUUUAUAUGUUAUAUAUUUUUGAUUUAUCUUUGGAGAUCAGUUGACAGUUGCCUACUGAGUACCACGUAUUUGGUACUCAUACUACACUUAUGUAUCUUACAGAUCCUAGUAUGGGUUAUCACUGUUAAUGUGUGCAUCGUGCGUACUAGCUAUGGUUCAGACACUUAGAUUGAGCUUCUGAUGUUUGGAGUAUUACUUUUCUCUCUCUUAUGUAUUGGACUAGUCUCUAUGUUUUAUUCAAAGAUAGGUUAUUUCAGUGUAUUCAUUUGUACAUCACUUUGAAAUCUUUUUGUGUAGAUGCUCUUGUACUAACAACACCAGGUUUUGGGACUAUAUUAUGUAUUUGAUCUCUUAUUUCAUCUUUUUUGCAUUUCUUUCUUUAUCUGCUUGGGUUGUCCAUUACUAGCUAUUCCAGACUAUGGGUUUGGUUUGCCUGUUAGUGGGUUAUGGUAGAUGCCAUCAUGACCUGGGAAAUUAGGUCGUGACAAAUUGGUAUUAGAGCCUAGGUUCAGCAGUGUGUUAGUAUAAGAGCCAAGUGUUUAGUAGAGUCCUGCAGAUAGGUACACAGACAUUCGUAACAUAUCUUCAGGAGGCUAUAGGGACAUUCUUAGGAAAAUUAUUUCUUGACUCCUUGUCUUGUGUCUGCAUUGCUAUGAACCUUAAAUACAUUCUUUGACUCUACUCUAUCUCCAAAUAGGCAAUAUGAGAUAGUCGAUAAAUGCAAAUGAGACUUCGACACUUAUUUUUAGAGCUUCAGUGCAACAUCAGACUAGAGAGUUAGAUAUGGAUAUUAAAUAUCUUCAACGCCAGGAAAAGGAUUUAAGGCCAUCUUAUGCUCCAAUAAGGCUCAUGACUACUUUACCCCUUUGAGGUUCAACAUUGGUGGUCCUAAGUAUGUUGCACAUCCCUCAUAUUUAGGGAUGAUAUUAGGUUCAUUGAGUAAGUACUCAUGUCAAAGUUAGAUUGGUUGGUGUUCAUUAGAAUUGUCUAUUAGAUCCUAAGCAUGAGAUUAGAUUUUUUGAGUAGGUCAGGUAUUUUUCUAUGCUAUAUCCUUCUGAGCAGGUUAUGGUGCAUGAAGUUAUUAGAGGACUAGCACUGUCAAUCUAUUUAGCAUUGGAGAAUUUGAUAGCAGUUGAUUCUUCCUCCCCCUAGACUAUUAGUUAUGCAAGGGUUAUAGAGUGAGUAUGCAUUGAAAUUUAUAGGGAUGGUGGUAAGAAACCAUGCUCUUGAUAUUGUCUAUUGGUAUUUCAUCUGGGAGUGAGGAUCACCUUACAAAGUUUUUGGUAUGGGCCAUUAGGACAUGAUGACUAUUUUGGAUUAUGAGGUGUAGUAUCUCGAAGUAUUCUAAGAUAUUGUUUUGGUUUUGGCUAGAUCAGUUACUGGUCUAGAAAAUAUCUUCAAAAUUAGAUUUUAGUCAUUUAGCUCAUCCAGAUCAGCCUCAUAGUGAUUAUGGCACCUUUAGAUAGAGAUAGUGCACUAGUGCUUAGUUGGCUAUUUACUUAAUCAAUUCGAGUUUGGACCUGUUCAUAUUUUACUCUCCCUUAGACCCUUCAGGCAUGUGAUUGCGGGUUUCACCAUAAUAGUUAUGAUUUUAUUUCCCUGUAUUUACCUUUUUAUUAUAUGUAUAGGGGUCUUUGUACCUAUUGAUGAUUAUAUGCCUUGAUGAGUUCAUAUUAGUUAAUGUGUCCCUUGUUAUUAAAUCCAUGAUUUUAUGACUACUUCAUGGCUUAUUUCUUUUAAUAAUGGAUGUGGUACAUCUGUAUUGAUAUUUGCUCUCUAUAGGUGUAGCAUUUGGGUUCGAGUCCUAUUUAUCUCGGUACAUUGGCCAUAUUAUGGUCCUUGAGUGGUACAUAAUAUUGAUGUUCAUUUUGGUAUCACCUAUUCAUUAUAUUAAUGUUGAUAUUGCUAUUGUUAUCAUUGCUUAAGGUUAUUGAUAUUACUAGAUAUUAUUACUUAAUAUAUCUGAUCCUCGCUGGGUAGCCGUAUAGACUAAUUUUAUCUAGAUAGGAUUCCAUUUCUUCAUGAUUCUUAUUUGAUGGCUUGAGUAUAUAUAACCCGAUUUGAUGAGUUUUUCUUAUAGUGAGGUGAGGUUGAUUACUUUCCCUCUUUUUUUGGCGGUGAUAGAUUGAUUAUGGCUUCAAUUAGUGUAUUGAAGGUAAGUUGACCUUCUGUGGUUCUAUGUGGUUCUAGAGUUGGAAAUUUAGUUAUAUUGCCUGUUCUAGAGUUUGAGAUUCUUAGACAUACCUCUUAUGUUGAGAAGGUUUUCACUUUGGGUAUCCCUUUCUAUAUAGCCUAUUUUUGAGCUUGACCAGUUUAGGGUCCAUUCUUUGCUUGUGGGUAUUUUUUUGUCUGAUUGUGGGUUUAAUAUUGAUAUCAAAAUGUCUUGGAUUUAUCUCUUAGAUUUGUUGGGUUCAUCUCCUAAUGAUGGUUUGCCCUUGUUUUUGGUGUGGAGUUGGAUGCUCUGUUCUUUCCGUGAUAUGAUUUUUGUCUAAAGUGGAGUUAGAGAGUUGGAGGCAAAUGGACUUUUCUAUGAUCGCUUCAUGAGUUACUUGGUUUAUUUUUGGGUUGGUGGCACUGGUGCUGAGAUUCUCAAAUAAUAUACUCAGCAUGAGUAGUAUGCUUGAGUUGGAGUCAAUAUAGUUUUAUUCUCUACUGGUGGGACAUCCUGGAGUGGAUCAUUCAAUGAUGAGUAGUUAUGCCUUGAUCUUCUGGUCUUCAUUUUGAUUACCAUCCGUACUAGCUAUAGCAUUGGAAUAGAUUGUAUUCCUUGAUUAUCUCUAUUUAUGUGCCCAAAUAAUUCCUUAUGGGCUUAUUCUCAUGUUUGUCGUAUGGACUUUUAGUAGACCAGUUUCAGUUCCUUGAGUUCUCUAUGAUAAGAUUGCGCAAACAGAACUGAGGUGAUUUUUUUAUCUUGGUUUGGAGUAGAUUGCAAGUGUUGAUUGGUAAAAGAAGGUUAUAUUUGGAUUCGAUAUCGAUGGUAUGACUAAUGUAUUAGGUUGGUUUUAGCUUCUAUGAGUAUUUGAUUGAUCGUAUAGGUGUUGAGAUAGUAUCAAUGUAUUGUGGUUCAGGUUUGCAUUUAACAACCUUUUUCAGUUUAACUGGAGGCCAGCUGGUGGUUGAGGUUAAGUUUUGACUAUUUGGAAAUGAAGAAAGAGAGAUGGUUAAAAAGGGAUACCAAUGGAAAAAUCCCUCAAAAGCGUUCUCUCAUCUUAGAGGUUAUCUAGGAGGUCAUGCUUGCAACAUAUGGGACCAGUACCUCAUCCUUUCAAGCUUUUGAGAUCUUUUUAUCUUUUGACUUUUGAAGACGAAAGUCUUUUUAGUAGUGGAUAUUGUAAUGACUCAUUAUUCAUAUUUCCAUUUAUUUUUGCUGUUAGAGCUUUUCCAUAGCUACGCCAAGUCAUUUAUGACUUGUUGGGACUGAUAGUUUGGUUAUUAGGUAGUUCGUUUGGUUUUUAGAUCCAGUUUGAUGUUUAAAAGUCUUUGCUCGUCUUAAAUGGCCACUGGGUGAAAAGUUCAAUGAAAUGCUCUCUGAUGCAAAUUCCAAUUGCACCAGCAACUUCAGAUUAUCAAUUUUAGGCAAAGUACACCUUUGGUUUGGGUCCCAAUUCACCCGAGCUCAUUUCGACCUAUUGAUCAAAAGUUUAGAAAAAUGGAAAUUUAGGUGUGGGACCCAUAUUUGGUCAAAAUAACCUCAGAUAGAAAAUUCAAAUUUGCCAUUGCUUUCAAAAUGUUAAAUCUAGUGUGGUUACAUAGUUCAUUUGUAUAUAUCAGAUUCUAAAUGAGUCCCGAGGCCUUAGAAAAAACUUGGAAAUUCCAAGUUUUAAAUUUGGUCUUAGGUCGGUGCCAUGGUAAUCGCAUCACGUAGGAGUGUGAUUGCACCUCACUGUGCAGAUGGGGGUAUUUCUGAUUGGACAAGGGUAUGUUGAGAUUGUAACAUCUAGUUCUGACACCAGAUAGUGCAAUUAUGGUUUGCAUGUUUCUAUUGCAAAAUCUGAUUACCUGGUAUUGGUAUAAAAAGGCCCAUAAGGCCACGUUUGGGCAUUUAUCACCCACUCUCUUGAAAUCAAAAACCCCAAAGGAUGUGGAAACUCAAAAUUGAGACUUGUGGGUGACUCGGGAGCUAGAUUUACAUCUAUCAUUGCGAAUAUCUUCGGAUAUUAGGUAAAAUUUCAUCCCUUUCUAGGUGAAUUUCUUGGUUUUUGAUCCAAAACUCCAAAUAGCUUGAGGGAUUAAUUUCAGCCCAAAAUUGCUUGGUUCUUACCCAUUCUUGAUGGUUAUGAUUCCUUGAUCUUGUAUGAUCAUUAGGUUGACAUCGAAAAUGUGAUUACCAUAAGUAGGACCCACUUGGGCUUUUUGGUGUUGUUUUUGUACCCAAAGGACAGUGGUGCAAUAUGGGUACCCAAACCACUUGGGGUUUUUGGUGAUGACAUUUGGGACGGUGAAGUGACGAUGGACGUUUGGUGAAUGAUGUAAGGAUUUGUGAUUUUCCCUUGAGGUAGGCUUAUGUCUACUCUCUCCAUAAGAUGAUGCAUGUUAUAUAUUGUGUGAGAAAGUGAAUGUUAAGUUUGAUUAUGGGUAGAAUGACUUGGUUUUGAAUAUUAAAGUUUGGGGAUUAGUUGAGGGUUUGACCCGUAAGUUAAAAUUCUUUAUCCCUGUUUGAAUCCUAUUGCCUCCUCCCUAGAUUGAACUAAUUCAAAGAAUUAAUAUGGUAUAGUGCUAGGUUUGGGAUGUGACUUUAGCAUUGGAAGCAUAGUUAGUAUAUUUAACCUUUUUUUGGCUAUUGUGUUAGGUGGAGUUGACUUAAAUGCCUAUAUUUCUAGGCAAAAUUCCUAUCCUAGGAUUAGUUAUAGCUUACUUGACAUCUAGAAGUUAAACUAGAUACCUUAGAUUAGUCUGGGGUAUAAAUUGCCUAAAUAUGGAAAUUGAGGAUUAGAUGUGGGUUUUUCUGGACCACCUUAGGUUAAGACUUAUGUUAGCCCCUUUGGACUUAGUUGCGGAUAUUAGGCAUGGUUGAGACUAUUGGACCUUUAGUGUAAGGUUGCUUCAUGACUUGAUGAAUGGUGAAGGUUUUCCCCAGAUUAUGAUAUAUGGCCUAUAGACAUGAGAUGCUUAUCGAUAUUUAUGCCUCAUAAAUAUGCUAUAGGUUAUUUAAAUUGAGAUGAUUUAUAAAUAUGAUUAUUGAUAUGGGUUACAGAUAUGUAUAUGGACCAAAGACCAUGAUUAUGAUGUUAUAAUUGUUCUGGAUACAUUAUUGGACCCAAGGCCGUGUUGUGAUAGGAGUUGACCAUUCGAGAAGUAUUUAUCCUUAUAAAGCGUGUGAUUGCGGUUUACUAAUAUAUUAAUGCUUAUAGUUCCAUUGUUUAAAUACUGGUAAUGGCAUCCAUAGAUCUAAUACGUUCAUGAUCGUUGCAUCAAUGAUUGAUACGAUUCAAAUUAGGUUAUGAUCUUAUUAUUGUUGUCACUAAAUGAGGGUUAAAACCCAAUUUCUGCCUUAAUACAGAUUUCUUCAUAAUAAUAAUUGCCUGUCUUAAUGAAUAACUAAUAUGUAAAAGAGAUUAAUAAUGAUGUUUUAAAAGAUGUGACUGAGACAAAUCUUGAUCUAUGAUUUGAUACUACGAAUUACUCUGGUCGUGAGAGAUUCCAGCCCUUUCAACAUUUUUAAAAUGAUUUAGUCCCAAAGUUCACUCUGGGCAACAAAUUUUUAGAUUUACACUCUUUUAGCCACGACUUGAGUCCGUGCACCUAUCAUAUCCAGAUAUAUAUCUCUCUAAUUUGGGAUGGGGGUAAUGCUGGAUUGAUGAUAUAACUUCCAGGUAAAACCAAUGGCAGACUUUAAUAUUGAUGUUAUAUAUGUGUAUAGUUGAUGUUCAUGAUGAUUGAUGAUAUUGAGGGUAUUGAUGAUAUUUACGAGUGAUUCAAUUUUGAGUCUUGAUGAUAUUUAUGACCGAUUCAAUUCUGAGUCUUGUUGAUAUUUAUGAUUGCUUCAAUUCCGAGUCUUGAUGAUAUUUAUGAUUGGUUCAAUUCUUUGUUGAUGAUAUUUAUGACCAAUUUGAUUUUGAGUCAUGAUUAUGAUGAUGAUGGUUAUGAUGAGGAUGGUUAGGAUAAUGAGAUUAUGAUAUUGAUUAUUUAUAUAUUUCAUUCAUCCUUGUAUGCGUAUUUUCUAUCACCAAAAUACACCUUUAUGUAUCAGCUCAUAUGGUGGAGGGGGUGCAUAAGUAUGGAGGUUGAUUAUGCGUUGUGUGUGUUGUAUGUUGAUUGAACCUUCUAAUCCUGGGGCAGUGGGCGUAUGUGAUAGGCUCAGUUAGGUAUUUGGUUAUUCGAACUAGCUGGUUACUCGAACUGUUAUUGAUAUUGUUAUAUUCAUUGACAUGAUUAUGGUUAUGGCUAGUUUGUGAAAGAUCUGAGGUAUGAUUUUGGCACUUUUAUCUUUCGAUUUCAUUAUUCUGCAUGAUUAAUUCAUGAUUAGGCAUUUGGGUUAGAAACCCUGAGUAUUCUAGAACUAGCUCCUGCUAUGGUUAUGAGGUCUUAAAUAGCUAGUCUUAUGUUCUAGGCUGUACAACGCGUAAUUCAGCCAAAUGUAGUUAUGGAAUUACCGCAUAUCCCUCCAUUUCUUCAUUUACUCGGAUUAUAUACUUAUUCCUUGGCCUCAUAUACUUAUAUGUAUCUUCUUUACACUCUUACUUUCAUAUUGGCCAGUGAUAUAUGUUAAAGUGUUCGAUAAUCAUAAGUAUUUCUAGAAUAAGAUAGUGCAUUCUUACCACUCCCUUAGCCUUGAUAUGUUAGUCUCUUGGGCAUGAAUAAGAUAAUAAAUCCUUAUUAUCUCAGUGGCUGUCUUAUAAGGUUGCUGGAUAUUUGUGUGUAGUUUUCCAUUUUGUUUAUAUAUUAUAUAUAUAUGCUUUAUAUUUAGAGAUCAGUGGGCAGUUGCCUACUGAGUACCAUGUGUUUGGUACUCAUACUACACUUCUGCAGCCUGCAGAUCAUAGUACAAGUUAUCGCCGUUGAUGUGCGCAUAGUGCAGAGCAGCCGUGUUUUAGAGACUUAGGGUGAGUUUCUGACAUUUGGUGUACUACUUAUAUCUCUCUUAUGUAUUAGACUAGUCUCUAUGUUGUAUUUGAAGUUAAGUUAUAUCAGUGUAUUCAUUUGUACAUCACUUUGAGAUCUUGUUGUGUAGAAGCUCUUGUACUGAUACCACCACUUUUGGGACUAUAUUAUGUAUUUGAUCUCUUAUUUUAUCUUUUCCGCAUCCCUUCCUUCAUCUGCUUGGGUAGUCCGUUAUUAGUCAUUCUGGAAUACGAGUUUUGCUUGCCUGUUGGUGGAUUAUUGAAGGUGUUAUCAUGACCUAGGAAAUUGGGUCGUGACAAAUAGACUCAUCUAUAGGUUGAUGUCUCCACCAGACCUUAAACACUGGAAUAACUCUAGAAUGCAACUAUCUAACAUCCCUAGCUAAAAUAGAGAUGGGAUCCUCAAUAAAAGACAACCUCUCAUCUAACUGGACUAAAUCCUAAUGAAUAACAUGAAAUUCAUCCGGAGUGUAACACUGAAGGACGGAAAUAUGAAAACUGGAUGAACAACUAAUAAAAUGUCAUGAACCAAACCAGGGCCUGGCCAUGACAUGUAUCUCAAGUCUGUCGAGGAUCAGAAACCACCCCCUUUACUCUAGCAAACCAGAACAAAAUACACAUUAUAGCGGAUGAAUUCCAAACAUAUAACAAGAUAGAGCUGAGUUCCAAACUUAUAACAAGAUAGGUAACUCAACUAACUUAAAAAGGAAUCUAAGAAUUUCAACAACCAUCCUCAUCCAUAGUAAUCCACAACCCUCUAUUAACCAAAAGACCACCUAUGUUGGGACAUUCCCCCAACUAUAGAAAAAAUGAGUCCUAAAAGAAAUAGUCUGAUACAUAAUGAAAUAGGAACAUGAAAUGAGGGUCUUUCGAUGUUUGGAAGCUCACUACUUCAAGCUGACUAACGAUCGAUCCAGAAAUCACCUAAUCAUUGCACAAAAAAAGAAGAAGUUUCUUCGGUUCCUGCAUCGCGUGGGGAUACACCAUUUGAAGAUGGUUAGCAGGGUGAGCACUAGCAUGUAACUCAGGGAAGGGAUAAAAUAAUGCAAAGUCAAACCAUAGUAAAAUCCACAUACACGCAGUAUACAUACAUACAUAUAUAAAUAUAUAUAGCAUACUGGGAAAGGGAGAAGGGUUUAGCAUGAAAAUAAAACAUUAACCUGGACUGUGUAGCUUAACCAUCAUAAAAACACCCACGAGAUAUACUGGUCCAACCUCCUUUGAUGUAUAGGCCCAGUGCGUGUUAGCCAUACGAACCGAAGAUAUCAUAGAGGCUGGGGAAUCCACGAUCCUUCGCAUCCAUGAUACAUAUAUAUAUAGUGUGACAUAAGCACACGGUCAUCAAGACCAACCCUUAUGCCAACAAAUAUAAGUUUCAAAUAUAGGUCCCGUAGGACCUCCACCUUCAUGGCCAGAUAAACAACCCUUUCUAGGUCCAAUUAAAACAUUUACACAUUUUCAUUUAUUGAACUAUAAUUAUCUAUUAAGGAAUACACUAUUGGUAUCGUCAUAUCAACUACACUAGAAAACUAUUAUCAUCAUGUCAUUUUAAUUAUCAUAGAUAAGGGGAUUCCACGACCCCACAUGCUCUAAUUAUUCAUCCACAUGGGGGAACCCAUGACCCCUUAGGUUUAAUUAUUCAUUAACUUGGGGGAAUCCACGACCCUCAAGGUUCAAUUUAAAAUCGUUAUGUUUUAAUCACCUUUUUAUAUCAUGCAGUGGUCCUAAAAGUAGUUCAAUAUGUAAAUUUUUAUGCUCAAAGCAAGUUUUACCAAAUUGGAUUGAGGUUAUACAAAUUCCAAUAUUAAAAAUCAACAUAGGGGGAAUACAUGACCCUUUUCCCAAUUUUCCAUGCCUUUGCACCCAACAAUUCAAAAUCAUCAAUCCAAAUCAUGAAAAAUUGAUCGAAACCAUGGGAAAAGAAAUUUAUUCAUUAAUGCUCAAAAGAAACCUACAUUCAAAUCAUCAAUUUAAAUCACGUGAAUACAACUAUAACUAAAUUCUUUUAAAAAAACAAAUUUUGGGGAAGAGAUACUUUCCUUAUUAAAAAUCAAGAAUUAUGGAGAGAAAUCAAUAAUUGAUGCUUGAAUGGCCAAUCCCUAGAAACCCUAGCUACCCUAGCUUAUUCUUGUUUGAAGAGUUUGGGAGACUUUAAUAGUGUAUUUGAUUUGAUAAAGAAUGGAAAUAACCCCUUUUUGGUGUUUUAUAGAUGUGGGGUCUAAGUAUGGAAAGAGGGAAUAUAACAAAGUACACAUAAUUAAAAAGCUUAAAGUUGUCGCCAGUGACUAUGAGUCACCCUAUAACUCGUGAGAAAACACUAUGAGUUAUCACCGUGACUUAUAGUCUAGAAAGUAACUCAGGGCACUUAUAUUUGUCUAACUUUGAUUCGUACCCUACGACUCGUACUCAGACCUUAUGACUCAUUAGGUCCAAUCGUGGUCAUAACGAAAAUAAGGGACCAUUAUAUUGGUAAGACAAUGAGUCCCAUAUUACGAAUCAUAAUGUCUCACCACAACUUAUUAUAUCUGUAUUGUACUCAGGCAAAAAACUUUAGGUAACACACUAUUCACCCUAUGAUUAUGGUCCUACGACCCGUAAUGACACCUCACGACUUGUAUGGUGAUAUAUGGUGUAUUUAUGUACUUUAGUAUCAUUAUCCUAGGUUAUUUUGUCUUUUUAAAGGAAAUUCAUGUUAUUUAUGUGUGAUUAUGAUAUUAAUAAGAAUUUAAGUGUUCAAGGAUGUGAUUACAAUGUUUAAAAGUGUUUUCCAAUAAGUUUGGGUUCAAAUCGAUCAUUUAGAGUUCAAUCGAGAAAACUAGUUUUACUAGCUUGAGCUAGGUGAUGUCCUAGUCUAUUUCUUUGGAUCCUAAUGUGUUGAAUGAGUUCCUAUUUUUUUAUUAUAAAAUUAUCAGUGGAAUAACUUUUUUGUAACGUACAAAGUAUAAUUGAGUCAAAACUAAAAGUAAGAUUAAAACUAGCGAAACUAGUUAUUAGCUUAAGAUUCUAGUGUGUUGCCAUUGAUGUGUUGUUGUUUCAAUCUCUAAUACAUGGUGUUUUAUUUUAUAAGAUAAUUGGAAAGUUUCUUUCAAUGACUUACAAAGGAUAUACAAGCUAAACAUGAAGUGGAAAUAACACCACGAGGCUUGAACAGAAGGAGAAAAGCAUGAGAACUUUUAGAAGCAAAAGUGCAAUUCCAGUGAGGGCACGUAGAUAAGCCCGCACAACCCCCUCUAGAGCGGUGCAAUGGAGCCCGUUUAUCCCCCUUUAGAGUGGUACAAUGAAGCCCGUGACACCCUAUAUUCUUGCAUAACCUAGGCUUCCUUCUACUAUAUAUACAUGAUUUAGAACACUUUGUACUGGACUUUCAGACGUCCUUGGAUACAAUUGGAGGCUGCUACAAACGUAAUUUAGGGUUCUUAAUAUUUAGUUUAAUUUCUUUUUUGUUUUGAUCAUUAAUUCAAGCCCUUGGAUUGUGGUUAAUUCCAUUAGCGGCUAAACUCCCCCUUUCUAGGGUUAAGGCCAAGAUCAUGAUACUUUUGUUUUGAAUUAUGUUUGUUGAAUUGCUUAUCAUUAUGGUUGUUUGUUUAUCCUUGUUUUAACUAUUUUACGGAUUAGCUACCCUUAGAAUAUAUUCAUUGUUGACCAUGUGUUCUCAGGAGGGGAAAUAAGAAGAUAGAACGCAGGGAUAAGCAAGGUAAGGUUCAGAGUCUAUUAUAAAAUAAGGAUUUCAAAUUAGCAUCUAGGACAGGGAUGUACCUAGAAGCCUUACUUGAUUCAAAUAUAGGAUGAUAUCUGUAAGAACUUGAUUGAAUUAUUACAUCCUCUCUAAAAAAUGUAGUUAUAAUGUCCAAAUUAUGUAAAUUAUUAGAGGUCGGGAGACAAUGAUCAUGCAUUAACCCUACGAAUCAUCAACCAAGAUAAGCAGUCCAAUGAAUGAAAUUAAAUGGCAUAGUAUGAUUUUUCGUAAGACUUAACCCAGGAUCUCUAUCCAUUUAUUAUCAAAAGUUAUUAAUUUUCCUCAUUAGUUUAGUGUACUUUUAGUUUACAAUUCUAAAACUCUAUUUUUUACUUUUUCUCAAUCGUUAAACUAGAAUUGGAUAGUUGGCAAACACAAGUCACUGUGGGAUCGAUAUUAACCUUUCUUUAAGGCCACUAUAUUACUUGGUAGACCACGUACACACAUGUGUGCGCUUGAGAACUGUCAAGUUU